AACGGGCUCUUCGGAGCUAGUGGCGGACGGGUGAGUAACGCGUGAGGAUCUGCCCUUAGGACGGGGACAACAGCUGGAAACGGCUGCUAAUACCCGAUGUGCCGAGAGGUGAAACUAUUUGGCCUGAGGAUGAGCUCGCGUCUGAUUAGCUAGUUGGAGUGGUAACGGCACACCAAGGCGACGAUCAGUAGCUGGUCUGAGAGGAUGAUCAGCCACACUGGGACUGAGACACGGCCCAGACUCCUACGGGAGGCAGCAGUGGGGAAUUUUCCGCAAUGGGCGAAAGCCUGACGGAGCAAGACCGCGUGCGGGAGGAAGGUCUAUUGAUUGUAAACCGCUUUUGAUAGGGAAGAAGAUCUGACGGUACCUAUCGAAUCAGCAUCGGCUAACUCCGUGCCAGCAGCCGCGGUAAUACGGGGGAUGCAAGCGUUAUCCGGAAUUAUUGGGCGUAAAGCGUCCGUAGGUGGUUUUAAAAGUCUGUUGUCAAAUCGCGAGGCUUAAACUCGUACAGGCAGUGGAAACUAUAAGACUAAAGUGCGGUAGGGGUAGAGGGAAUUUCCAGU
RNAcentral lists this ribosomal RNA (563 nucleotides) under uncultured cyanobacterium. Its description in RNAcentral is "bacterial SSU rRNA". It matches the Rfam family "Bacterial small subunit ribosomal RNA", at positions 65 to 674 of the family's 1533-position model. Lineage: Bacteria; Bacillati; Cyanobacteriota. The record is from RNAcentral.